UGUUUUAUGGGUAGUGUUCUGAUCGUGCUGCUGUCAGCCAGUUUUUUGGUGACUUAUGCCACCACACGCUUGGAGGAACGAAGAGACCCAGUAGGUUGCAACAAGUACGAAGAUGACUGCGAUUUCCCAACUGGCUGUAACUGCCCAUGGAGAGGAUUACGAUUUCCACUGGUUCGUCAAAUGUAUCACUAUAAUCGACGUCGGCACCGGUGCGACCGAGGAGGACAGUUAGGAAACUGCAAUUCAUUUAUUACCUACCAUGAGUGCAUUAGAACAUGUGUUGCGGGCAGGAGAGGCCGGUAGCGCGCCACAAAAAAAUUAACGAAAAAAUACCAAAUGUUCCAUGACUGAGUAAUAACAAAAAUUUCUCUUGAGCGAGCUCUAA
This is a long non-coding RNA of Rhipicephalus microplus (southern cattle tick), 385 nucleotides long. The record is from RefSeq and is a predicted model, not a curated record. NCBI's taxonomy places the organism in Eukaryota, Metazoa, Arthropoda, Arachnida, Ixodida, Ixodidae.